This 406-nucleotide ribosomal RNA is filed under the name uncultured bacterium. RNAcentral's name for it is "partial 16S ribosomal RNA". It matches the Rfam family "Bacterial small subunit ribosomal RNA", at positions 30 to 526 of the family's 1533-position model. The record is from RNAcentral.
AUUGAACGCUGGCGGCAGGCCUAACACAUGCAAGUCGAACGAGUGGCGGACGGGUGAGUAAUGUCUGGGAAACUGCCUGAUGGAGGGGGAUAACUACUGGAAACGGUAGCUAAUACCGCAUACCAUCGGAUGUGCCCAGAUUGGAUUAGCUAGUAGGUGGGGUAAAGGCUCACCUAGGCGACGAGCCCUAGCUGGUCUGAGAGGAGGACCAGCCACACGUGAACUGAGACACGGUCCAGAUUCCUACGGGAGGCAGCAGUGGGGAAUAUUGCACAAUUGGCGCAAGCCUGAUGCAGCCAUGCCGCGUGUAUGAUGAAGGCCGUCGGGUUGUAAAGUACUUUCAGCGGGGAGGCGUUACCCGCAGAAGAAGCACCGUCUAACUCCGUGCCAGCAGCCGCGGUAAUUC